RNAcentral lists this ribosomal RNA (490 nucleotides) under uncultured bacterium. RNAcentral describes it as "partial 16S ribosomal RNA". It matches the Rfam family "Bacterial small subunit ribosomal RNA", at positions 30 to 507 of the family's 1533-position model. The record is from RNAcentral.
AUUGAACGUUGGCGGCAGGCCUAACACAUGCAAGUCGAACGGUAACAGGAAGAAGCUUGCUUCUUUGCUGACGAGUGGCGGACGGGUGAGUAAUGUCUGGGAAACUGCCUGAUGGAGGGGGAUAACUACUGGAAACGGUAGCUAAUACCGCAUAACGUCGCAAGACCAAAGAGGGGGACCUUCGGGCCUCUUGCCAUCGGAUGUGCCCAGAUGGGAUUAGCUAGUAGGUGGGGUAACGGCUCACCUAGGCGACGAUCCCUAGCUGGUCUGAGAGGAUGACCAGCCACACUGGAACUGAGACACGGUCCAGACUCCUACGGGAGGCAGCAGUGGGGAAUAUUGCACAAUGGGCGCAAGCCUGAUGCAGCCAUGCCGCGUGUAUGAAGAAGGCCUUCGGGUUGUAAAGUACUUUCAGCGGGGAGGAAGGGAGUAAAGUUAAUACCUUUACUCAUUGACGUUACCCGCAGAAGAAGCACCGGCUAACUCCGUG